GCAAUUAUUGAAGCAUUUGGGCGGUUGACCAUCCCCUUUCUGAAGGGAGGUGGUUAUCAUGACGACAUAUGAAGCAUUUAGUCUAGUUACUCAGAUUACCUUCACUUUAAUAACAACUUUGACACUGAUUGUAACGCUUGUCGUCUGGAUAAACAAAAAGUAACCGCCCAAACUGACAAGGUUUAACGGUUACUUCAUGAAAAUACAAUAAUACCUAGUCAACCGCUCUUAUGCGGUUAAUAAUUGCUACUACCGGGUGGUUCGAGCCACUCGG
Molecule: small RNA, 274 nt
Filed under: Ornithinibacillus halophilus
Lineage: Bacteria; Bacillati; Bacillota; Bacilli; Caryophanales; Bacillaceae
Description: Ornithinibacillus sp. G8B(2010) BsrG
Rfam family: BsrG
About the family: bsrE, bsrG and bsrH pair through intermolecular interactions with antisense sRNAs. SR4 interaction with the 3'UTR of bsrG RNA promotes bsrG degradation and inhibits its translation.
Source: Rfam by way of RNAcentral